RNAcentral lists this ribosomal RNA (467 nucleotides) under uncultured bacterium. RNAcentral describes it as "partial 16S ribosomal RNA". It matches the Rfam family "Bacterial small subunit ribosomal RNA", at positions 28 to 507 of the family's 1533-position model. The record is from RNAcentral.
GACGAACGCUGGCGGCGUGCUUAACACAUGCAAGUCGAACGGAAAGGCCCAGCUUGCUUGGUACUCGAGUGGCGAACGGGUGAGUAACACGUGGGUGAGCUGCCCCUGACGCUGGGAUAAGCCUGGCAAACUGUGGCUAAUAUCGCGUAUUCAUUUUUCCUCGCAAGGGGAUUUGUGGAAAGCUUUUGCGGUUGGGGAUGGGCCCGCGGCCUAUCAGCUUGUUGGUGGGGUAAUGGCCUACCAAGGCGAUGACGGGUAGCCGACCUGAGAGGGUGAUCGGCCACACUGGGACUGAGAGACGGCCCAGACUCCUACGGGAGGCAGCAGUGGGGAAUAUUGCACAAUGGGCGGAAGCCUGAUGCAGCGACGCCGCGUGCGGGAUGACGGCCUUCGGGUUGUAAACCUCUUUCAGCUCCGACGAAGCGAAAGUGACGGUAGUGGCAGAAGAAGCACCGGCCAACUACGUG